Molecule: ribosomal RNA, 392 nt
Filed under: uncultured bacterium
Lineage: Bacteria
Description: partial 16S ribosomal RNA
Rfam family: Bacterial small subunit ribosomal RNA
Source: RNAcentral
AUACGGAGGAUCCGAGCGUUAUCCGGAUUUAUUGGGUUUAAAGGGUGCGCAGGCGGCCAUUUAAGUCAGCGGUUAAAUCGUGGGGCUCAACCCCAUUCUGCCGUUGAUACUGGGUGGCUUGAUUGCGGUCGAGGUUGGCGGAAUUCGUUGUGUAGCGGUGAAAUGCAUAGAUAUGACGAAGAACACCGAUUGCGUAGGCAGCUGACCAGAUCGCAAAUGACGCUCAUGCACGAAAGUGCGGGGAUCGAACAGGAUUAGAUACCCUGGUAGUCCGCACAGUAAACGAUGAAUACUUGUUUUCGGCGAUAUAAUGUCGGAGGCAAAGCGAAAGCGAUAAGUAUUCCACCUGGGGAGUACGCCGGCAACGGGGAAACUCAAAGGAAUUGACGGGG